RNAcentral lists this ribosomal RNA (1146 nucleotides) under Escherichia coli. RNAcentral describes it as "partial 23S ribosomal RNA". It matches the Rfam family "Bacterial large subunit ribosomal RNA", at positions 400 to 1551 of the family's 2925-position model. The record is from RNAcentral. Lineage: Bacteria; Pseudomonadati; Pseudomonadota; Gammaproteobacteria; Enterobacterales; Enterobacteriaceae.
UGAGCUCGAUGAGUAGGGCGGGACACGUGGUAUCCUGUCUGAAUAUGGGGGGACCAUCCUCCAAGGCUAAAUACUCCUGACUGACCGAUAGUGAACCAGUACCGUGAGGGAAAGGCGAAAAGAACCCCGGCGAGGGGAGUGAAAAAGAACCUGAAACCGUGUACGUACAAGCAGUGGGAGCCUCUUUAUGGGGUGACUGCGUACCUUUUGUAUAAUGGGUCAGCGACUUAUAUUCUGUAGCAAGGUUAACCGAAUAGGGGAGCCGAAGGGAAACCGAGUCUUAACUGGGCGUUAAGUUGCAGGGUAUAGACCCGAAACCCGGUGAUCUAGCCAUGGGCAGGUUGAAGGUUGGGUAACACUAACUGGAGGACCGAACCGACUAAUGUUGAAAAAUUAGCGGAUGACUUGUGGCUGGGGGUGAAAGGCCAAUCAAACCGGGAGAUAGCUGGUUCUCCCCGAAAGCUAUUUAGGUAGCGCCUCGUGAAUUCAUCUCCGGGGGUAGAGCACUGUUUCGGCAAGGGGGUCAUCCCGACUUACCAACCCGAUGCAAACUGCGAAUACCGGAGAAUGUUAUCACGGGAGACACACGGCGGGUGCUAACGUCCGUCGUGAAGAGGGAAACAACCCAGACCGCCAGCUAAGGUCCCAAAGUCAUGGUUAAGUGGGAAACGAUGUGGGAAGGCCCAGACAGCCAGGAUGUUGGCUUAGAAGCAGCCAUCAUUUAAAGAAAGCGUAAUAGCUCACUGGUCGAGUCGGCCUGCGCGGAAGAUGUAACGGGGCUAAACCAUGCACCGAAGCUGCGGCAGCGACACUAUGUGUUGUUGGGUAGGGGAGCGUUCUGUAAGCCUGUGAAGGUGGCCUGUGAGGGUUGCUGGAGGUAUCAGAAGUGCGAAUGCUGACAUAAGUAACGAUAAAGCGGGUGAAAAGCCCGCUCGCCGGAAGACCAAGGGUUCCUGUCCAACGUUAAUCGGGGCAGGGUGAGUCGACCCCUAAGGCGAGGCCGAAAGGCGUAGUCGAUGGGAAACAGGUUAAUAUUCCUGUACUUGGUGUUACUGCGAAGGGGGGACGGAGAAGGCUAUGUUGGCCGGGCGACGGUUGUCCCGGUUUAAGCGUGUAGGCUGGUUUUCCAGGCAAAUCCGGAAAACC